CAUAUUCAGCCCUUAGGUGGGCCUGAGACACUCUAAAUGAUUUUGGCAUUAAUUUUUGACACUGCAGUUUGUUGUAUGAUUUGUUUUGUUCUAUUUAUAGUAGGUUGAUUCAUGAGAGCUUAGCAUAGUCUUGAGCUGGAUGUUAUAAAGUGGUUACAUCAGACAUAUGAAUGUUAUAGAGUGAUUGAUUUUAGUACAGUGUUAUGCUUACAGUGAUCCUUGGGCCAAAAUAUUAAUUAAUUUUGUCUAGAGAGAGUUCUAGUUCUUCCAUUCCAGGGACGUAAAAAAAUACAGAGAAGAUCUGAAAAAGGAUCAGUGUCGAUUGGAGGACUGGGAAAGUAUGACCCUGGAAAGAAAAAGUGAUAACCAUUCAAACUUAUGUGUAAAGACAGGGAAAGUUCAAAGAGAUAAAGAAAGAAAAUUUGCACCUGAGUUUCAGAAUAAUUAUAUUUCUGCAAGCUUUAUGAUUAGCUUUUUCUUGGUACUGCAAAAAAAAAAAAAAAAAGAGAGAGAAAAAUAAGAAAAGAAAAAAAAAGAAAAGAAAAGAAAAGAAAAGAAAAGAAAAGAAAAGAAGAGAAGAGAAGAGAAGAGAAGAGAAGAGAAGAGAAGAGAAGAGAAGAGAAGAGAAGAUAAAAGGUUAAUUUCGAAUGUGUACUCCUUUCAUUCUAAGUCAACAACAACAACAAAAUCUAUUUGAAAGGGCUAUUAAGAGGUCAUGGAGGCAAUAUUCUGCUGAAAGAGAAUUAACAGCAGUGGAACCAUAAAGCUGCUGCUCCUCCAGAGGAAGACAAGACUUUGAAAAUCACCUUGAAACUCAAUAAUAAAGAAAGGAGAGUAGAUAUCAAGAAGCUACAGUAUUCUGAGAAAUAAAAAGUGAUACUUUGUCCUUUGGUGAUGGUGGUAUGGCAGACAAGUGAAUGACAUUUUCUUUACCAUGGGCUACUAGAGACAGAAGAAAGGAUCUCUGCCCACCACUCUUCUGAGAAGCCACCCAAAUUAACUUAAUUCUGGUCAUUCAUGGUCAUUCAAGAGAAUAACUCCUAUCUCAUCUUAUCCCUCUGUGCUGCUUAAUAACAAAGGAUUAUGGAAUAAAUCCUGGAAUUCUGGCAUUUAACCCAAAAGACAUAAUAUGCUUAUUAUCUUACAGAAAGAUUUUUUUGUUUUUGUUUUUGUUUUGAGAACUGGCUGGAGUGGUCCAAAAUCAAAAAAUGAGGGUAACAGGUAGAACUGAGUAUCAGUGAUUCAAUACUCAGUCUACUUCAUCCUUUUUAUUUAAGAGUAUGUAUGCAUUCAGUAUUGUUCCUGAAGCUAUGAGAGAAAGAAAAAAAAUUAAUGAAAACUGUCUUCAUGAUUCAGUUUUUGACUUUUCCUGUAAAAUUUAUCUUCUCCAUCUACAUUUCAAAAAGGGGUUUAGAUAUGAUGACACACAGAGCUACAGUAUUUAAAUCUAGGGGCUGAUUUUCAAGAGCAGUAUUCACUAUGCAGUGUUUCUAACGUCUGAGAUAAUUAUAUUUUUUGGAAGAAGAGCACACAUGAAUGACACAAAAUCCAUCAUGUUCACAGAUGUCAAUUAGUCAAUAGAAAAAAAGACAAAAUGAAAAUGUAACUUCCACUUUUUCAGGUAUAUGGAAUUUUUUAACCCUUGUAAGAGGCAGAAUCCUUUUUGAUGUUAGUAAGAAUCCAGUUUCAUGAAUAUUUAUCUUAAGAAAAAUAUAAAACAAAGCAUUUGGGGUGUGGAAAGCUUUCAAAGUGUGAUCUUAUUCAUAAGACACAUAUCUAUGUUGAUUUUCAGAGAUUCUGAGCUGCUUCUAAUGAGUUUAAUGAUAUCUGUUGCUUCUGCAAUGAACAUGGGAGGUGUGAGUACAUACCUGUCUGUGGGUGAAGGAGAAAAGGGUUAAGUCAUCAUUCAUUCCUUGGAAUAAAGGAAGUCAUUUUAAAAUUUUCUGACAAGCCAAAAGUUGAAUGAUAGGCCUGAACCUGCCUAUUGAAAUGAAGAGUUCAACAGAAAUGCAGUCUUUCAUCAUCAUGAAAGAAAAAGAGGUUAUGAAAAAUUAUUUAUUGCUGCUAUGUUAUAGAAUCAUAGAUUCAUAGAAUAGCUUGGGUUGGAAGGGACCUUAAAGAGUAUUUAGUUGCAAGCACCCUGCUGUGGGCAGGUUUCCCAACAGGUGGUCCACAAUCCCAUCCAGCCUGACUUUGAACACCUCCAGGGAUGGGGCAUCCACAGCCUCUCUGGACAGUCUGUUCCAGUGGCUCACCGCCCUCUGAGUAAAAAAAAUCUCUUCCUAACAUCCAAUCAAAAUUUUCCCUCUUUAGUUUAAAACCAUUCCUCUUUGUCCUACCACUAUCUGACCAUGCAAAAAGUCAGCCAUGUUUCUUUGAUUCUGGGAAUUUAUGCAUUAUAUGUUAUAUGACAUUAAUUAUCAGUUUUGGAAGCCUGUCUUAAUGUUUGAAACAAAAAGAAAAUCUACUCACCUAGCCUCUGUAUUUCCCAAACUAAGGAAUACAUUAGAAAAGACACAAGAUUCUGUGAAAAACAGGAUGCAGAUGGGCAUCCCUGCUUCCUCUUAUCUGCUGGCAAGGCCCGGAAGAUGAUAACAAAGGAAUUUCUGCUGAGAUCCCAGAGGCAGUAGCUGCCACUCCAAGGAGAGCUGACUCAACCACUUUGGAUUCGAGCUGUCACUCAAAAGAGAGCUGACUCGACCACUUUGGACUUAUAAAUAAGUUUGUACUGCCAUCGUUGUCGUCAUCGCUGUGGUCACCAUUGUCAACAGAACACCAGAUGACCCACCACUACUGAAGAUCAAUGACUGAACUACGAACCACGUUGGACCAUGGUGGUGACUAUCUCCCUCCUGCUUCCUAUACGGACUCCUUGCUCCUAUUUCCUAUCUUUUCUAUCGCCCUUCUCCCCUUCCCCAUCUCCCUGAACGACUAGGAUUUGUAAUACACUGGUCAGACCAACAUUUGAACCGUUGUUUGUUAAUCUCAUGCCAGGUAUACACACAUCAAAGAACCUCAUCUCCCUCCGAUAAAUUGGAGAGAGACAAUCAUUUUAUGCUUUUACAGUAUCACAUUAAAAUAAAACAAAAGAAAACUUAUACUGUAUGGAAUGCUGAGGAUAGUCACAAAUAGUCUAUUUGUACUGGCUAGAAAUAAUAAAUACAGUAUUUCU
Molecule: long non-coding RNA, 3172 nt
Filed under: Gallus gallus (chicken)
Lineage: Eukaryota; Metazoa; Chordata; Aves; Galliformes; Phasianidae
Description: lncRNA (ENSGALG00010006295.1)
Source: RNAcentral